Molecule: non-coding RNA, 54 nt
Filed under: Bdellovibrionales bacterium
Lineage: Bacteria; Pseudomonadati; Bdellovibrionota; Bdellovibrionia; Bdellovibrionales
Description: Li+-I sequence
Rfam family: nhaA-I RNA
About the family: Acidobacteria, Alphaproteobacteria, Betaproteobacteria and Gammaproteobacteria, Verrucomicrobia, cand. division NC10. Downstream gene
Source: RNAcentral
GGGUUCAAUAGCUUCGCUAUUGGAGGUACACAUUGCGUGGUCGGGCCGCCAUGC